CCGGAAGACCAAGGGUUCCUGUCCAACGUUAAUCGGGGCAGGGUGAGUCGACCCCUAAGGCGAGGCCGAAAGGCGUAGUCGAUGGGAAACGGGUUAAUAUUCCCGUACUUGGUGUUACUGCGAAGGGGGGACGGAGAAGGCUAUGUUGGCCGGGCGACGGUUGUCCCGGUUUAAGCGUGUAGGUGUGUGUUCCAGGUAAAUCCGGUUCACUUUAACACUGAGGCGUGACGACGAGGCACUACGGUGCUGAAGCAACAAAUGCCCUGCUUCCAGGAAAAGCCUCUAAGCAUCAGGUAACAUCAAAUCGUACCCCAAACCGACACAGGUGGUCAGGUAGAGAAUACCAAGGCGCUUGAGAGAACUCGGGUGAAGGAACUAGGCAAAAUGGUGCCGUAACUUCGGGAGAAGGCACGCUGACACGUAGGUGAAGUGAUUUACUCACGGAGCUGAAGUCAGUCGAAGAUACCAGCUGGCUGCAACUGUUUAUUAAAAACACAGCACUGUGCAAACACGAAAGUGGACGUAUACGGUGUGACGCCUGCCCGGUGCCGGAAGGUUAAUUGAUGGGGUCAGCGCAAGCGAAGCUCCUGAUCGAAGCCCCGGUAAACGGCGGCCGUAACUAUAACGGUCCUAAGGUAGCGAAAUUCCUUGUCGGGUAAGUUCCGACCUGCACGAAUGGCGUAAUGAUGGCCAGGCUGUCUCCACCCGAGACUCAGUGAAAUUGAACUCGCUGUGAAGAUGCAGUGUACCCGCGGCAAGACGGAAAGACCCCGUGAACCUUUACUAUAGCUUGACACUGAACAUUGAGCCUUGAUGUGUAGGAUAGGUGGGAGGCUUUGAAGYGUGGACGCCAGUCUGCRUGGAGCCGACCUUGAAAUACCACCCUUUAAUGUUUGAUGUUCUAACGUGGACCCGURAUCCGGGUUGCGGACAGUGUCUGGUGGGUAGUUUGACUGGGGCGGUCUCCUCCUAAAGAGUAACGGAGGAGCACGAAGGUUGGCUAAUCCUGGUCGGACAUCAGGAGGUUAGUGCAAUGGCAUAAGCCAGCUUGACUGCGAGCGUGACGGCGCGAGCAGGUGCGAAAGCAGGUCAUAGUGAUCCGGUGGUUCUGAAUGGAAGGGCCAUCGCUCAACGGAUAAAAGGUACUCCGGGGAUAACAGGCUGAUACCGCCCAAGAGUUCAUAUCGACGGCGGUGUUUGGCACCUCGAUGUCGGCUCAUCACAUCCUGGGGCUGAAGUAGGUCCCAAGGGUAUGGCUGUUCGCCAUUUAAAGUGGUACGCGAGCUGGGUUUAGAACGUCGUGAGACAGUUCGGUCCCUAUCUGCCGUGGGCGCUGGAGAACUGAGGGGGGCUGCUCCUAGUACGAGAGGACCGGAGUGGACGCAUCACUGGUGUUCGGGUUGUCAUGCCAAUGGCACUGCCCGGUAGCUAAAUGCGGAAGAGAUAAGUGCUGAAAGCAUCUAAGCACGAAACUUGCCCCGAGAUGAGUUCUCCCUGAGACUUAGAGUCUCCUGAAGGAACGUUGAAGACGACGACGUUGAUAGGCCGGGUGUGUAAGCGCAGCGAUGCGUUGAGCUAACCGGUACUAAUGAACCGUGAGGCUUAACCUUACAACGCCGAAG
RNAcentral lists this ribosomal RNA (1622 nucleotides) under Salmonella enterica subsp. enterica serovar Infantis. RNAcentral describes it as "partial 23S ribosomal RNA". Lineage: Bacteria; Pseudomonadati; Pseudomonadota; Gammaproteobacteria; Enterobacterales; Enterobacteriaceae. The record is from RNAcentral.